RNAcentral lists this microRNA (25 nucleotides) under Oryza sativa (Asian cultivated rice). RNAcentral's name for it is "osa-miR11336-3p". The record is from miRBase by way of RNAcentral. Lineage: Eukaryota; Viridiplantae; Streptophyta; Magnoliopsida; Poales; Poaceae.
GAAUAUGGGAAAUGCUAGAAAGUCU